Molecule: ribosomal RNA, 669 nt
Filed under: Escherichia marmotae
Lineage: Bacteria; Pseudomonadati; Pseudomonadota; Gammaproteobacteria; Enterobacterales; Enterobacteriaceae
Description: bacterial SSU rRNA
Rfam family: Bacterial small subunit ribosomal RNA
Source: RNAcentral
GGUUGUGCCCUUGAGGCGUGGCUUCCGGAGCUAACGCGUUAAGUCGACCGCCUGGGGAGUACGGCCGCAAGGUUAAAACUCAAAUGAAUUGACGGGGGCCCGCACAAGCGGUGGAGCAUGUGGUUUAAUUCGAUGCAACGCGAAGAACCUUACCUGGUCUUGACAUCCACAGAAGUUUUCAGAGAUGAAAAGGUGCCUUCGGGAACUGUGAGACAGGUGCUGCAUGGCUGUCGUCAGCUCGUGUUGUGAAAUGUUGGGUUAAGUCCCGCAACGAGCGCAACCCUUAUCCUUUGUUGCCAGCGGUCCGGCCGGGAACUCAAAGGAGACUGCCAGUGAUAAACUGGAGGAAGGUGGGGAUGACGUCAAGUCAUCAUGGCCCUUACGACCAGGGCUACACACGUGCUACAAUGGCGCAUACAAAGAGAAGCGACCUCGCGAGAGCAAGCGGACCUCAUAAAGUGCGUCGUAGUCCGGAUUGGAGUCUGCAACUCGACUCCAUGAAGUCGGAAUCGCUAGUAAUCGUGGAUCAGAAUGCCACGGUGAAUACGUUCCCGGGCCUUGUACACACCGCCCGUCACACCAUGGGAGUGGGUUGCAAAAGAAGUAGGUAGCUUAACCUUCGGGAGGGCGCUUACCACUUUGUGAUUCAUGACUGGGGUGAAGUCGUAA